GAUGAACGCUGGCGGCGUGCUUAACACAUGCAAGUCGAACGGAAAGGCCCAAGCUUCCUUGUGUACUCGAUUGGCGAACGGGUGAGUAACACGUGGGUGAUCUGCUCUGCACUUCGGGAUAAGCCUGGGAAACUGGGUCUAAUACCGUAUAGGACCACACUUUGGAGGGUGUGCUGGAAAGCUUUUCGGUGUGGGCUGAGCUGGCGGCCUAUCGGCUUGUUGGUGGGGUAAUGGGCUACCAAGGCGUCGACGGGAAGCCGGCCUGUGAGAGUGAACGGCCACACUGGCUCCGAGGUGAGGCCGAGGUGGCGAAGAGUGGAAGAAGUGGGGAAUAUUGCACCAUGGGUGCAGGGCGGAUGCAGAAGGGCUGCGUGUUGGAUGACGGCUUUGGGGUUAAAGAAACGUUUCGGUAGGGAAGAAGGGUUAUCUGACGGUACCUAGAGAAGAAGCACCGGCUAACUACGUG
This 466-nucleotide ribosomal RNA is filed under the name uncultured bacterium. Its description in RNAcentral is "partial 16S ribosomal RNA". It matches the Rfam family "Bacterial small subunit ribosomal RNA", at positions 28 to 507 of the family's 1533-position model. The record is from RNAcentral.